This 1407-nucleotide ribosomal RNA is filed under the name uncultured bacterium. RNAcentral's name for it is "bacterial SSU rRNA". It matches the Rfam family "Bacterial small subunit ribosomal RNA". The record is from RNAcentral.
GAUGAACGCUGGCGGCGUGCUUAACACAUGCAAGUCGAACGAACCUUCGGGUUAGUGGCGGACGGGUGAGUAACGCGUGGGAAUCUGCCCUCAGGAGGGGGAUAACGGUUGGAAACGACCGCUAAUACCCCAUAUGCCGAGAGGUGAAAUGAAUUUCGCCUGAGGAUGAGCCCGCGUCUGAUUAGCUUGUUGGUGAGGUAAUGGCUCACCAAGGCAUCGAUCAGUAGCUGGUCUGAGAGGAUGAUCAGCCACACUGGGACUGAGACACGGCCCAGACUCCUACGGGAGGCAGCAGUGGGGAAUUUUCCGCAAUGGGCGAAAGCCUGACGGAGCAACGCCGCGUGAGGGACGAAGGCCUCUGGGCUGUAAACCUCUUUUCUCAAGGAAGAAGAUAUGACGGUACUUGAGGAAUAAGCCACGGCUAAUUCCGUGCCAGCAGCCGCGGUAAUACGGGAGUGGCAAGCGUUAUCCGGAAUUAUUGGGCGUAAAGCGUCCGCAGGCGGCCUUUCAAGUCUGCUGUUAAAACGUGGAGCUUAACUCCAUCAUGGCAGUGGAAACUGAUUGGCUUGAGUAUGGUAGGGGCAGAGGGAAUUCCCGGUGUAGCGGUGAAAUGCGUAGAUAUCGGGAAGAACACCAGUGGCGAAGGCGCUCUGCUGGGCCAUUACUGACGCUCAUGGACGAAAGCCAGGGGAGCGAAAGGGAUUAGAUACCCCUGUAGUCCUGGCCGUAAACGAUGAACACUAGGUGUCGGGGGAAUCGACCCCUUCGGUGUCGUAGCUAACGCGUUAAGUGUUCCGCCUGGGGAGUACGCACGCAAGUGUGAAACUCAAAGGAAUUGACGGGGGCCCGCACAAGCGGUGGAGUAUGUGGUUUAAUUCGAUGCAACGCGAAGAACCUUACCAGGGCUUGACAUCCUGCGAACCUUUAAGAAAUUAGAGGGUGCCUUCGGGAACGCAGUGACAGGUGGUGCAUGGCUGUCGUCAGCUCGUGUCGUGAGAUGUUGGGUUAAGUCCCGCAACGAGCGCAACCCACGUUUUUAGUUGCCAGCAUUUAGUUGGGCACUCUAGAAAGACCGCCGGUGAUAAACCGGAGGAAGGUGUGGAUGACGUCAAGUCAUCAUGCCCCUUACGUCCUGGGCUACACACGUACUACAAUGCUACGGACAAAGGGCAGCAAACUCGCGAGAGCUAGCAAAUCCCAUAAACCGUGGCUCAGUUCAGAUCGUAGGCUGCAACUCGCCUACGUGAAGUAGGAAUCGCUAGUAAUCGCAGGUCAGCAUACUGCGGUGAAUACGUUCCCGGGCCUUGUACACACCGCCCGUCACACCAUGGAAGUUGGCCACGCCCGAAGUCGUUACUUUAACCCUUGUGGAGAAGGACGCCGAAGGUGGGGCUGAUGACUGGGGUG